RNAcentral lists this ribosomal RNA (336 nucleotides) under uncultured bacterium. Its description in RNAcentral is "bacterial SSU rRNA". It matches the Rfam family "Bacterial small subunit ribosomal RNA", at positions 72 to 422 of the family's 1533-position model. The record is from RNAcentral.
AAGGGGAGCAAUCCCUGAGUAAAGUGGCGACCGGGUGAGUAACACGUGACUAACCUACCCUCGAGUGUGGAAUAACAUCGGGAAACCGACGCUAAUACCGCAUAACAUCGCAAGAUCAAAGGAGCAAUCCGCUUGAGGAGGGGGCCGCGGCUGAUUAGCUAGUUGGCGGGGUAACGGCCCACCAAGGCGAAGAUCGGUAGCCGGCCUGAGAGGGCGCACGGCCACACUGGAACUGAAACACGGUCCAGACUCCUACGGGAGGCAGCAGUGGGGAAUUUUGCGCAAUGGGGGAAACCCUGACGCAGCAACGCCGCGUGGAGGAUGAAGCCCCUUGGG